RNAcentral lists this transfer RNA (62 nucleotides) under Ictidomys tridecemlineatus (thirteen-lined ground squirrel). RNAcentral describes it as "Spermophilus tridecemlineatus (thirteen-lined ground squirrel) tRNA". It matches the Rfam family "tRNA", at positions 6 to 65 of the family's 71-position model. Rfam says of the family: Transfer RNA (tRNA) molecules are approximately 80 nucleotides in length. Their secondary structure includes four short double-helical elements and three loops (D, anti-codon, and T loops). Lineage: Eukaryota; Metazoa; Chordata; Mammalia; Rodentia; Sciuridae. The record is from Rfam by way of RNAcentral.
UGUAGCUUAGUUGGUAGAGUGCUUGCCUCGCAUGCAUAAGGCCCUGGGUUCGAUGCCCUGCA